Molecule: non-coding RNA, 222 nt
Organism: Pelodiscus sinensis (Chinese soft-shelled turtle)
Lineage: Eukaryota; Metazoa; Chordata; Testudines; Trionychidae
Source: RefSeq, a predicted model, not a curated record
GCGGGGCCAGCCGCUCACCCGCCUGCUCUUCAACCGGCACCUCACGGCCGACCUGCUCCGCAUCAUCACCAGGCACAGGAAGGUGAUGGCAGAGAAGGUAGACGUGGAUCACAUCCUGAAGGCACGCAGCAGCAGGGAGUUCGACGCGCGCUACACGGCUGUGGUGUUUGGCUACGGGACGUGCAAGGAGGAUUACCGCGCCGCCAGCCCCGCGCACACAGU